CUGCAUCCUGCCUCCUCCCCAUCCGCUGCAGCGCAGAGGGCUGUGGCUCUGGUACCACGCAGCACGGCACCCCACAGCUCUCCACGCAGCACGGCACCCCACAGCUCUCCACGCAGCACUGCACCCCACAGCUCUCCUUCAUUCGUUGCCUCUGGCCUCCUGAAUCGGUUUCACUGACUUACAACAAAGCUAGAGUUGACCCUUGAACAACGAGGGGUUAGGGAUGCCGACCACCCCCAAACAGCCGAAAACGCGUGUGUAACUUUUGGCUCCCCCUAAAACUUGGCCAACAGCCUGCUGCUGCCUGGAAGCCUUACCCAUAACGUAAACAGGCGACUCACACAUGUUUUGUGUGUUGUAUGCGCUGUAUACUGUAUUCUUGCAACAAAGUAAGCUACAGAGAAGAAAACAUUAUUAAGAAAAUUACAAGGAAGAGAAAACACAUUUUCGGUACCGGAUUGUAUUUAUGGGAAAAAAUCCACAUAGACCCACACCCAUGCAGUUCAAGCUUUUGUUGUGCAAAGGUCGCCUGCAUUUCAUUUUUGACUUCAAAUCAUUCAUAAACCAUAUUUUGCUGGAUUUCUAAACGUAUCCUCUUGUGACGACGGGCUACGUUUGAAACACAAACGUGGUCACAUUUUGUCAAUGACAGGAGGAACUGAGUUUCACACUUCUAAGCGAGGUCUAGCACACCUACCCAGACGUGCAGGAGUCACAGAUGUGGAGCAGGACGGAUUUUUACCAGCUGAACACACCCGGGGAACUCGACCACACCGAGAAACGUUCCUGGUCCCCAGAACUCCCCCACUCCGCAAACCCCCCCUUCCAGCAGCGGUAAUCUCCCCUGACUUCAAUGGCACAGUUUGCUCGGCCCGUGUUUAUGCUUUCGUGCAAAUGAAAUCAUAUAGCGUGUGGCCGGGUUUGCUCAAUGCCAGGGUCAGCCAGGAAAGUCUGGAACGCUGCACCUCACUAGCAAGCCUUGAGCCCAUCCCACACGGCAGCUGUCUUCGGAAGGGGCCUGUGGCCUGUGCCCUUGCCCUGACCAAGGACGCCCUCUCCGCCUUUGCGGCAUCUGACCACAGCUGGCCGCCGCGUCCCAAAGCGAAGAGCCGCGCAGCUUGCCGGCCAGCAUGGCACAAGGCGUGGCGCCCACGCUCAGCUGCAAGAACCGAGCUCCCACCAAGGUCAAGAAGGGGAUCUUUCCCCUGAGAUGGAGACAGAGCCAAAAGGGACUUUCUAAUUACGCAACUCAGAGAGUCAGCGCUUCAAAAACAAAACGCUCGGAGGAGCCGGAGUUUCUGUAAUGAGGACGGACACCGCCACAGCGGUGCUUGGAGCCACGCCUGCUGGGGACGGCAGGUUCGGAGCCGACAGCCUUCACCGAAGACUCUGCCGGAGACCCCUGGACCUGUGAGCAUGAGUCGCCAGGGCGUGUAUAAUCCAACUCCCACCCACCUGUCCCUCUCUCCCUGGCUCCCAGCUCUCCACGCCCUGCCGGUCUUCCCAGCCUUCGCACAUGCCGUUCCCUCUGUCGGAAACGCCUUUCCUCGCUUGAGCUCCUCCUCCUGUAUCAAGGCCCCAUUGAAACUCCAUCCCCAGUGACUUCACACCCAACGGUCCCCAGCCAUGCUGUCCUCCCUGUCUUUCUGUGGGUCUAGGAUCUCUCUCGUGUCCUUGUUCCGUAAAUGCUGGAGGCUGCACACAGCCCCCCCUCCUCGCCCCAGGACCAAGAAGCCCCCCACAUGAGCUGGGCAUUCGCAUCCGCAGCCUGCGUCCCCAGGGCCUCCCAAAAGCCCGGCAGGAAGCCCAGGCAGGCGGUGGGCUGCCUCUCCAUCAUUCUGAGCACGUCACGCUGGUGACCCGGGAGCUAUUUUCAUAAUUUCACAAAACCUAAUAGAAAUCGCACACGCGUCAAAAUCAGAGUGACAGGAAGGUCAAGUUUCACUGCUUUGGGAACCAGGCGUGCUGAUUAUCUCAUGGUCUGAUUGGCUGCCACGGUUCGAGUCAUGGAUAAGGAACGAGGAAGCUGUUAUCAUCUGGUAGCAAAAAAAGUUUCAAACUUGGGAUCCGAGGGGGUGUCCUGUGGAGAGGGCCAAGGCUGAGAGCCUCUCCUCCAGGGAGCUGUGCCACAGAUGGGAGAGCGGGCGCUCUGGGAUUAAGAGCUUUUCAAGCAAGGCUGGCAAGUUUUAAAGUGACCCAAAUACAGCAAAAUAUUGUAAAAUGAACUUGCUAACUUCUGGGUAGUAGCGAGCACCAUUUUGAAGGGACUCUAGCGUAGAAUGGGCAGGACAGAGUUUCAGGCUACGGCCUCGGGCCCGCGUGGACGGUCCCCGUGGACAUGCAUGAAGGCGGCGCUGGAGAAGGCUGGAGCUCUGUGCAUACCUGGGCUCAGCCACCAAGGGGGCUCGGCUCAGCGGCGUCUGACAAUGUGAGAGAGUCUCUAGAAGGACAGGACCUCGAAGUCCUCAGGGCAGCACUCUUCUUUAUGCCCGUGCCCACCUCUGUGCUUGAAUGCUUCCCCCGAUGGGGGGCUCAUUACAGCGCUGGCAGGUAUCAGACAGCCGGUUAGGAUACGGAUAAAAGGAGGGCAGGGAGGCCCAUCCCUGUUCCCACUGCUCUCCGACGCCCGUCUCCCCUAGCCCCUCCAGCAGCUCUGUGGGGCUCUUCCAGUUAAACCCUUCGCAGACAGACAUGGGGACUCACAGAAGUUUCUAAAUGACUGCCAAGGUGGGUCUAACACCAACGCUGAGCCCCGCCAGUGAUAGAGCGGAGUCUUCACCCGCCAGGAGCCUCAUCCGCUUUAGGCCGGUGGACGUGUCUGGUCCAGGGAGGAGGGAAAUAGGACGCGCCCCCCACCCCCCCCCACCACCCCGCAUCCUCUCCUGGCCUGAACCCUUUGCCAGGCCGAAACACCAGCUGUAAGCAAACCAUUCCCAGUCCAGUCGUGGCUGAGAGGUCCCGGGUUAGAGUCAUUUUCAUCAGAGGUGAGUUUGGAUUUCGUUUAUUUUGUUUUGUCUGAGGGCACUGGAGCAGGGGAUCCUUUGGUGCCUGAGGGGGUAAAUAUCAAUUUAUCUAAAAACUAUGCCAAGAUGUCUCAUUGCCCAGCAAUGCUGCACACAUUCAGCACACACGUGGGAAAACACCGAGGCGUCACUUCAGCCUGCUGUGUCGUGCUCGCCCUAACCUCAAGGCCAGGGCAGGGAGCAGACAAGACACCUGCGGGGCGGGCACUGCACGGGAUCCCCGAGGAGCGGCUUCGCCUUCAUCCUCAUGACGCCGGUGAGCCCUGCACGGGCUCCAUUUUUAAAUGAGGAAACUGAGCACAGAAAGCGGAAUUAACUAACGUUCCAAACUGGGGAAAUCAGAUGGGCUUCCCCCCAGGCCCCCGGGGCCCCACUCGUAAGAAUCUGUCAGCCAAAAAAGAACAAAUGACAAAGCCCGCGUGACAAAAAGACAGAGGAGGGAAGGGAACGGAUUAUAACCUGGAGUGCUGUCUCGCACUUCGCAAUACACCAUGUGGUUUCAUGACUUUUUCAAGCGUGUUUUUGAUCCUUAUCAAAAAAGCACUAACGUGUCGGUGCGGGCACACACACACGCGCGCACGCGCACGCGCCCGCGCGCGCAUACACAGAAGUCCCUGCUGGGCUCGCCGCGCUCUUGGCCGCACUCCUUGGCCUCGGGACAUCUUUUCCGCCCCAGCGCUGACCCGGGAACUGAAACGGGACCCGGACCUCGUUAACAAGUUCGGACCUGCAGUGCCUCCACGGGAAAGAGAUUUCUACUUAUUAGGAGAUGGCAUUUCCUCAGGGGACACGAGCGACUGUCAUGCUGGAGGCGUGGCUGGCUCCGAAGGAGAAUCUGGGCCUCACCGUCCGCGGCCACGCCGCACUUGCUGACGGGGUCAGUGUCCGCAAACGGGGGGGCUUAAAAACCACACACGAUUCUUCUCCGACAGUGCUGGAGGCGGGGGUCCACCAUCAGGGUGUUGCAGGGCCACACUCCUUGUGAAGGCUCCAGGCUGCGGGGGUCCUUCCUGCCUCUUCCAGCCUCUGCUCAUGGCCAUGCUCCUCCACCCCUGCCUUUGUCCUCACGGGGCCUCCCCUGCGUCUGUGUGUCUCCUGUGUGUCUUGCAAGCACGUGUGUCCUGGGGCGCAGGGCACAGCCCAAAUCCAGGCUGAUCUCAUCUCCAGGUCCCUUCCUUGUUUACAUCUGUGAAGACCCAGUUGACGGGUUCUGGGAGCCGGGAUGUGGACAUACGUUCUGGGGGGAUGCUGCAGUGACCGUGGCCAGAUCGGACUUUGUCCCAAGGGGGACACCCAGGAGGGUGGCUGACACGGUUGUCCCCGCCCGCACCGCUUCAGGGUCACCCUGCUUGGAGAGGCUGCUGCAGGGUCUCCGGGGGAAAGCCCAGACGACCGAGCGGCUCUCCCAAGCUCCCAGGGCCGCGCACGGGCUCUCCAGCAGAGCCCCGGCUUUCGGGCGACUGCAGCCCGUGGCUCCGUGCCGUGCCCACGGUGAAGCGGCGAAAGCAGCACCCGUCUAGAUAGAGUCCCCUGUGGGAUUCGGCCACACGGAGGGACCUGCAGGGUCCCAGGGGGCACUGAGUGGAAAGGAAGCCUGGGCAUCCCCCAGUCCAACCUCACUUGGCAGGUGACAAAACUGAAGCCAGGCAGGAGCAGGAGCUUGGUCAGGCCACCAGGUCAGCAG
Molecule: long non-coding RNA, 4707 nt
Filed under: Mustela putorius furo (domestic ferret)
Lineage: Eukaryota; Metazoa; Chordata; Mammalia; Carnivora; Mustelidae
Description: lncRNA (ENSMPUG00000025925.1)
Source: RNAcentral